UAAAGAACACAAGUUUUCUUCUCUGGGCCA
Molecule: non-coding RNA, 30 nt
Filed under: Mus musculus (house mouse)
Lineage: Eukaryota; Metazoa; Chordata; Mammalia; Rodentia; Muridae
Source: RNAcentral